RNAcentral lists this unclassified non-coding RNA (251 nucleotides) under Leccinum sp. Its description in RNAcentral is "partial contains 5.8S ribosomal RNA, internal transcribed spacer 2, and large subunit ribosomal RNA". The record is from RNAcentral. Lineage: Eukaryota; Fungi; Basidiomycota; Agaricomycetes; Boletales; Boletaceae. RNAcentral also lists the same sequence under 3 other names.
AACGCACAUUGCGCCCCUUGGUAUUCCAUGGGGCAUGCCUGUUCGAGCGUCAUUUGUACCCUCAAGCUCAGUCUUGGUGUUGGGUGUUUGUCCUGCCCUCGCGGCGGACUCGCCUUAAAGUGAUUGGCAGCCGGAAUAAUUCUGGGGAACGCAGCACAACUGCAGCCUCUAGUCUUAUACGCCGAGCGUCCAACAAGCCUUUUAUUCUUGCGUUUGACCUCGGAUCAGGUAGGGAUACCCGCUGAACUUAA